UAACACAAUAGUGAGAACUGCGUUCCCGGACCUGGGCUGUCUUGCUGCUGUUUCUAUUAUGAGGGAAAUCGUGGUGUCAGGUCUUCACUGUGUCUAUUUUUUUCCGGGGAAAGAACAGUGUUCUGCCGUGCCGAUUUCCCCUCCUCAUCUUAAAGAAUGCACAUUUCUUCUUUCUUCACCCUGAGGCCUGCUGUUGACAUUUUCUUCGGCAGCAAGUAUUACAUGCCUAAUACCCCUGAUUCAACUGCAAACUCCUUGAAGACACCAUUAAAAUAAUAAAAAGGAAGCCAAGGAUUGGGAGAAAAUAUUUGCAAAAACACAUGUCUGGUAAAGGACUUAUAUCCAAAAUGUACAAAGAACUCUUAAAGCUCAACAACAACAACAAUAUAAAAACAAUUAAAAAUGAGCAAAAGACCUGAACAUACACCUCUCCAAAGAAGAUAUGCAGAUGGCACAUAAAGCAUAUGAAAAGAUGCUCAAAAUUAUAUGUCGUUAGGGAAUUACAAAUUGAAACAAUGAGCUACUACUAUAUUCCUAUAAAGAGUGGCUAAAACUCAAAAUACAGACAACACCAAAUACUGCUGAAAAUGUAGGAUAAUGGUAAGUCUCAUCAUUGUAGAGAAUUGUACAGAUACUUUGUAAGACAGUUUGGCAGUUUCUUGACCCAUCAAAUCAUAUUCCUAGGUAUUUACCUAAAUAUGUCCACACAAAAAUUUGCAUUCAAGUGUUUAUAUAUAUUUGUAGAAAACUAGAAGCAACAAACAUGUGCUUCAACAGGUGAAUAGAUACAUAUGGUGCAUCUAUACAAUGGAAUAUUAUUAAAUGAUAAAAAAAAAUGAGCUAUGAAGCUAUAAAAAGACCCAGAGGAAACUUAAAUGCACUAAGUGAAAGAAGCCAGCCUGAAAAGGCCAUAUACUGUAUGAGUUCACCAGAAUGACAUUCUGGAAAAGAUAAAACUAUAGAGGCAGUAAAAUGAUCAUUAGUUGCCAGAGGUCAGGGUGGAGAGAGGGAGGAAUGAGUAAGAGGAGCAAAGGGGAUUUUUAGGGCAGUGAAACUAUUCUGUAUGAUACUAUAAUAGUGGAUCAUGACAUUAUGCAUUUGUCAAAACCCAUAGAACUAUACACACAAAGAACGAACCUUAAUAUAAACUAUGGACUUCAGUUAAUAACGUUUCAGUAUUGGUUCAUUAAUUGUAACAAAUGUACCACACUAAAGCAACAUAAUAGGAGAAGCUAAGGGGAGAGA
Manis pentadactyla (Chinese pangolin) is the source of this 1245-nucleotide long non-coding RNA. RefSeq lists it as uncharacterized. The record is from RefSeq and is a predicted model, not a curated record. NCBI's taxonomy places the organism in Eukaryota, Metazoa, Chordata, Mammalia, Pholidota, Manidae. The transcript has 3 exons.